UACGGAGGAUGCGAGCGUUAUCCGGAUUUAUUGGGUUUAAAGGGUGCGUAGGCGGGCUUUUAAGUCAGCGGUAAAAAUUCGGGGCUCAACCCCGUCCGGCCGUUGAAACUGGCGUUCUUGAGUGGGCGAGAAGUAUGCGGAAUGCGUGGUGUAGCGGUGAAAUGCAUAGAUAUCACGCAGAACUCCGAUUGCGAAGGCAGCAUACCGGCGCCCUACUGACGCUGAGGCACGAAAGCGUGGGUAUCGAACAGG
This 252-nucleotide ribosomal RNA is filed under the name uncultured bacterium. RNAcentral describes it as "partial 16S ribosomal RNA". It matches the Rfam family "Bacterial small subunit ribosomal RNA", at positions 524 to 776 of the family's 1533-position model. The record is from RNAcentral.